Molecule: long non-coding RNA, 348 nt
Organism: Antechinus flavipes (yellow-footed antechinus)
Lineage: Eukaryota; Metazoa; Chordata; Mammalia; Dasyuromorphia; Dasyuridae
Exons: 3
Source: RefSeq, a predicted model, not a curated record
CCUGAAUAUUGAAAGAUAUUAUUUUAGCACAUUUCUUCCUUUUCUCCUACAGCUCUUCUUACUCUGUAACUUUUCUCUUAAAUCUUGGAAAUUUCUGAGCUCCUGGAGGUAUAGAUUUCCAUUUGCUUCUGUUGCUGGUCAAGAGGGAUUAGUUCAGGGAGAAUUGGGUCUUCACUUGAUAAUUUCAGACUAUCUACUAAACAUAGAAGGACCAGUGGAGCUGGAGACUGAGCCACUUUCUCCAUCAGAGUGCUGCUUCUAUUAACAGAGAAACUGAUCUACUAAUUGUCAAGAAGUGUUUGGAUCUGUGGUUCUAAUCAAUAAAAAUUAGUGUACUUUUCUAUCUCA